UAAGAUAAAGCCAAAACGAGGCAGAUUUUUGUUACAAAUCGAAUUGAUUAUAAAUCUAUCUUAA
This 64-nucleotide transfer RNA is filed under the name Pleurocryptella fimbriata. RNAcentral describes it as "tRNA-Asn". The record is from RNAcentral. Lineage: Eukaryota; Metazoa; Arthropoda; Malacostraca; Isopoda; Bopyridae. RNAcentral also lists the same sequence under 1 other name.